GGAGGAAAGUAGGGGAUCGAAAGACCUUAUGCUUUUGGAGCGGCCGAUGUCUGAUUAGCUAGUUGGUGAGGUAAAGGCUUACCAAGGCGACGAUCAGUAGUUGGUCUGAGAGGACGACCAGCCACACUGGGACUGAGCCACGGCCCAGACUCCUACGGGAGGCAGCAGUGGGGAAUUUUGGACAAUGGGCGCAAGCCUGAUCCAGCAAUGCCGUGUGAGUGAAGAAGGCCUUCGGGUUGUAAAGCUCUUUCAGUCGAGAAGAAAAGGUUGUGAUUAAUACUCACAGUCCAUGACGGUAUCGACAGAAGAAGCACCGGCUAACUACGUGCCAGCAGCCGCGGUAAUACGUAGGGUGCGAGCGUUAAUCGGAAUUACUGGGCGUAAAGGGUGCGCAGGCGGCUCUGUAAGUCAGAUGUGAAAUCCCCGGGCUUAACCUGGGAAUUGCGUUUGAAACUACAAGGCUAG
Molecule: ribosomal RNA, 465 nt
Filed under: uncultured ammonia-oxidizing bacterium
Lineage: Bacteria
Description: bacterial SSU rRNA
Rfam family: Bacterial small subunit ribosomal RNA
Source: RNAcentral